UACGAAGGGGGCUAGCGUUGCUCGGAAUCACUGGGCGUAAAGGGUGCGUAGGCGGCUUUGUAAGUUAGAGGUGAAAGCCCGGGGCUCAACUCCGGAAUUGCCUUUAAGACUGCAUCGCUAGAAUUGUGGAGAGGUAAGUGGAAUUCCGAGUGUAGAGGUGAAAUUCGUAGAUAUUAGGAAGAACACCGGUGGCGAAGGCGGCCCACUGGAUCGGUACUGACGCUGAGGUGCGAAAGCGUGGGGAGCAAACAGG
RNAcentral lists this ribosomal RNA (253 nucleotides) under uncultured bacterium. RNAcentral's name for it is "partial 16S ribosomal RNA". It matches the Rfam family "Bacterial small subunit ribosomal RNA", at positions 524 to 776 of the family's 1533-position model. The record is from RNAcentral.